AAGCUGACUGAAGCACAGUCCAAACCUAAAACCCUCUUAGAACCAGAGGAGCUAAUAGUGUGAGUCCCAAUCUAAGUCCCAGAGCCCAAGAACAAGAAGCACUGAUGUCUGGGAGCAGGACAAAGCAGAUGUUCCAGCUGAAGCAGAGCAAGCAAAUUCACCCAUCUUUGACCUUUUGAUCUAUCAUGUCCUCAAUGGAUUGAAUGAUGCCCAUUACACUGGGAGGGUUGUUCUCUUUAUUCAAUUCACUGAUGCAAAACUAAUCUCUUCUGCAAACAGUUUCACAGACAUACACAGAAAUAAUGUUUUGCCAGCUACCUGAG
RNAcentral lists this long non-coding RNA (323 nucleotides) under Marmota monax (woodchuck). The record is from RNAcentral. Lineage: Eukaryota; Metazoa; Chordata; Mammalia; Rodentia; Sciuridae.